UUUCAUGUAUUCCAUUAAUUAAGGUUUAUAGGUCACUCCCUAAAUUUUCCGGUUGUAUCUAAAUUAAACAUGUACAGCACUUAGACAGUGCAAAUUAAUUGAAAGGAAAAAAGGAGACGAUCAAGAUUUUUUUUCAAUCAUGUAUUUAUAGAUGGUAUUUUGAUAAAAAAGAAAAUAAUCAUAAAUAAACAUCAAUAAACGUAACCGUGUUUUCAAGUUUUUCUCUCAGAUUACCGGAUAAAGGAAGAAAACCUUAUCAGUUUACAAUUUAACCGAAUUUAGAAUUCAGUGAUACCCACAAUCACCAAAGUGCAAGUAUGUUUUCACAUAUGAUGGAUCAUUCGUUGCGUAACGUCAUUUCAUUAUUGUUAGCAACCAUUUUAUUUCAUCCAAAUUGUUCAUCUACUCCAGAAUGUAAACAAUACUUCAAAGGUUGUUGUCCAGAUUACACAUGGAAUUAUGAAAGUCAGAAAUGCGAAAAAUGCUAACCAGGAUAUGGUGGAUUCAACUGUUCCCAGUCCUGUCCGUUUCCUUACUAUGGAGAAAAGUGCAAGAGGGAAUGUUAUUGUGAGAAAGACGUUUGUGAUAUUUCUCGUGGUUGUCCAAUGAUAUCAAUAGGUACAUGCAUAUCCUUCUUUUGAAUUGUCAAUGUUAACACAUAAAUGUAUAUGUAGCUUGCUCAUCGUCGACGUAUUUUGGGGUUAUAUUACCUUCUCCAUUUUUUUUUUUUUUAUAAAGGAACAACCAUUCUUGCCCAAUCAUGUUCUAUUCAAAACCAAAGGAACCCCGUUUUUUUACCUACCAGUAGUUCGUUUUCCUUCUAUAUAUGUUUUAAUUAUUCACUCCAUUUAAAAGAAUAGGAGACUCACUUUUUUCAAAUUGUUAAGAUUGAGUAUAUUCAAAUUUAAGAAAUCAAUGCUAUCGUUGA
Molecule: long non-coding RNA, 928 nt
Organism: Saccostrea cuccullata (small rock oyster)
Lineage: Eukaryota; Metazoa; Mollusca; Bivalvia; Ostreida; Ostreidae
Exons: 3
Source: RefSeq, a predicted model, not a curated record